Long non-coding RNA from Lineus longissimus, 159 nucleotides. RefSeq lists it as uncharacterized. Lineage: Eukaryota; Metazoa; Nemertea; Pilidiophora; Heteronemertea; Lineidae. The record is from RefSeq and is a predicted model, not a curated record. The transcript is spliced from 3 exons.
CUUUUCCAGUUUUAUUGAAGAAAAAGCCUGAUACAUUGAAAUGAUUCAUGCAAGAUAUCGCUUUGAUUAAUGAUGAACAUCUGAACGUCAACACUGAACUCGCCACUCUCAAAGAACAACAUCAAAAAUGUACAGGGGAAAUGGCAAUGCUCAAAGCAG